This 254-nucleotide ribosomal RNA is filed under the name uncultured bacterium. RNAcentral describes it as "partial 16S ribosomal RNA". It matches the Rfam family "Bacterial small subunit ribosomal RNA", at positions 524 to 776 of the family's 1533-position model. The record is from RNAcentral.
UACAGAGGGUGCAAGCGGUUGUUCGGAAUUAUUGGGCGUAAAGCGCGUGUAGGCGGCAUUGCAAGUCGGGUGUGAAAGCCCUGGGCUCAACCCAGGAAGUGCACUCGAUACUGUUUAGCUAGAGUAUCGGAGAGGUUGGUGGAAUUCUCGGUGUAGAGGUGAAAUUCGUAGAUAUCGAGAGGAACACCAGCGGCGAAGGCGGCAUCCUGGCCCUGUACUGACGCUGAGGCGCGAUAGCGUGGGGAGCAAACGGG